UUUUAUUCCUUUACUUUCUUAACAAACUUGCUUUCACUUUAUGGACUCACCCUGAAUUCUUUCUUGCACAAGAUCCAAGAACCUUUUCUUGGGUUCUGGAUCAGGACCCCUUUCCAGUAACAGUUCUAACUCAAAAUAGAGCUUGUCUGAGGUAGUCACAUAUUCUGGGCAUCACAGAGUCUAAUAAUGUUUGUGAGUAAUAACAAUAGUUGCAUAUGCUGAGAUAAAAGUAAUCAAAUCUCAUCCUCUAUGAUGGAAAUCCGUAGCUGCACUGUGCAGGAUUGUGCUUCAGGGGUCUAAAAAUUUCACCCUAACUGUAUGCAGAAUACUAAUACUUGAUUAGAGCUCUCUUUCUAUCAAAUGUAGGUAGUUCUAAUGGGAAUAGUUGCCCAACAUAUAAUACAAUCCUACUUAAUCAGCACCCCCCGGCCCCUGUUUAAAAUCUGGAACAUUUAUAUAUGUGUGUGUGUGUAUCCAUCCAGGUUCAUUUAAGUAUUAUAGUCACACUGUCAGAAUUAUUCUGAUUUCUUUAAAAUUUUAAUUGGCUGAGUUUCUUAGUGAAUCAUAGCUAGAUGAGG
Molecule: long non-coding RNA, 578 nt
Filed under: Homo sapiens (human)
Lineage: Eukaryota; Metazoa; Chordata; Mammalia; Primates; Hominidae
Description: HSALNT0045055
Source: RNAcentral